UACGUAGGGUGCAAGCGUUGUCCGGAAUUAUUGGGCGUAAAGAGCUCGUAGGCGGUCAGUCGCGUCUGCUGUGAAAACUCGGGGCUUAACUCCGGGCCUGCAGUGGGUACGGGCUGACUAGAGUGCGGUAGGGGAGACUGGAAUUCCUGGUGUAGCGGUGAAAUGCGCAGAUGUCAGGAGGAACACCGGUGGCGAAGGCGGGUCUCUGGGCCGUAACUGACGCUGAGGAGCGAAAGCGUGGGGAGCGAACAGG
Molecule: ribosomal RNA, 253 nt
Filed under: uncultured bacterium
Lineage: Bacteria
Description: partial 16S ribosomal RNA
Rfam family: Bacterial small subunit ribosomal RNA
Source: RNAcentral